This 723-nucleotide long non-coding RNA is filed under the name Numida meleagris (helmeted guineafowl). Its description in RNAcentral is "lncRNA (ENSNMEG00000001205.1)". Lineage: Eukaryota; Metazoa; Chordata; Aves; Galliformes; Numididae. The record is from RNAcentral.
GAAUGAUAGAGAGGUUGGGUUGGAAGGGUCCUUGAAUAUCACAGAACCGUGGAAUGGUUGAGUUGGAAGGGUCCUUACAGAUAAAAGAAUUGCGGAAUGAUAGAGAGGUUGGGUUGGAAGGGUCCUUAAACAUCACAGAACCAGUGGUUGGACUGGGGAAGGCCCAGAGGUUCCACUUCCAACCUCCUGUAAUUCUGGGAUCUGUAAAAGAAUCCCAACACCUUGAGCCCAAAUCUGACCUUUUGUCCCACGAGACCGAUUUUAAGUUCCCCUCUCUGACAUUGGUUGGGUUCCCUUCUGUGAUGUUGGUUGGCUUCUUCUCUCCAGUGUUUGUUGGGUUCCCCUCUUCGAUGUUGGUUGGGUUCCCUUUCCAAUGUGGGUUCCCCUUUCUGACAUUUGUUGGGUUCUCCUCUCUAACGUUGGUUGGGUUCCCUUCUCCCAUACUCUUUGGUUUCUCUCUCCAGCAUUGGCUGGGUUUCCCUCUCUGACAUCAGUUGGGUUUCCUUUCCAGUGUGGGCUCCCCUUUCUGACAUUUGUUGGGUUCUCCUCUCCAAUGUUGGUUGGGUUCCCUUCUCCCAUACUCUUUGGUUUCUCUCUCCAGCAUUGGCUGGGUUUCUCUCUCCAACCUUGGCUGGUUUCUCUUUCCUGUGUGGGUUCCCUUCUCCAACCCCGAGUUCCCUUUGACAUUGGUUGGGUUCCCUUUCCAAUGUGGGUUCCCCUCUC